ACUGACGCUCAUGCACGAAAGCGUGGGUAGCAAACAGGAUUAGAUACCCUGGUAGUCCACGCCCUAAACGAUGUCAACUAGGUGUUGGGAGGGUAAAACCUUUUAGUACCGGAGCUAACGCGUGAAGUUGACCGCCUGGGGAGUACGGCCGCAAGGUUAAAACUCAAAGGAAUUGACGGGGACCCGCACAAGCGGUGGAUGAUGUGGAUUAAUUCGAUGCAACGCGAAAAACCUUACCUACCCUUGACAUGUCCAGAAGCUCUUAAAGAUUUGAGUGUGCCCGAAAGGGAGCUGGAACACAGGUGCUGCAUGGCUGUCGUCAGCUCGUGUCGUGAGAUGUUGGGUUAAGUCCCGCAACGAGCGCAACCCUUGUCGUUAAUUGCCAUCAUUUAGUUGGGCACUUUAACGAGACUGCCGGUGACAAACCGGAGGAAGGUGGGGAUGACGUCAAGUCCUCAUGGCCCUUAUGGGUAGGGCUUCACACGUCAUACAAUGGUCGGUACAGAGGGUUGCCAAGCCGCGAGGUGGAGCCAAUCCCAGAAAGCCGAUCGUAGUCCGGAUUGCAGGCUGCAACUCGCCUGCAUGAAGUCGGAAUCGCUAGUAAUCGCGGAUCAGCAUGUCGCGGUGAAUACGUUCCCGGGUCUUGUAC
Molecule: ribosomal RNA, 649 nt
Filed under: Dechloromonas hortensis
Lineage: Bacteria; Pseudomonadati; Pseudomonadota; Betaproteobacteria; Rhodocyclales; Azonexaceae
Description: bacterial SSU rRNA
Rfam family: Bacterial small subunit ribosomal RNA
Source: RNAcentral